GACGAACGCUGGCGGCGUGCCUAAUACAUGCAAGUCGAACGGAAAGGCCCGGCUUUUGUGGGGUGCUCGAGUGCGGAAGGGGGGAGAAAAACGUAGGUACCCUCCCUUGACUUUGGGGUUAACUCUAGGAAACGGGGGCUAUAACCGCAUGGAACCUCUUCUGCCAUGUUGGGGGUUGAAAAGUUCGGCGGGUGGGGUUGGUCGUGGGGCUUUCCUGGUUGUUGGUGGGGGUUGGGGUUACCAAGGCCUUGGAGGGUAGCCGGCAUGAGAGGGGGAACGGGCACAUUGGGACUGGGAAACGGCCCAGACUGCAACGGGAGGCAGCAGUGGAGAAUAUUGCACAAUGGGCGGAAGCCUGAUGCAGCAGUGCCGCGUGCGGGAUGACGGCCUUCGGGUUGUAAACCGCUUUCGCCUGUGACGAACACUGAGUGACGGUAAUGGGUAAGAAAGCACCGGCUAACUACGUG
RNAcentral lists this ribosomal RNA (467 nucleotides) under uncultured bacterium. RNAcentral describes it as "partial 16S ribosomal RNA". It matches the Rfam family "Bacterial small subunit ribosomal RNA", at positions 28 to 507 of the family's 1533-position model. The record is from RNAcentral.